AGAACUCAUGUGAGGUUAACAAUUAAAAGAUUCUGAAAACCUUAUAAGAUAGUGAAUUCCAUAUUAAUAAGUCAAGAGUUCUGCCAGGAAAAUUAGUAUAAUUAGAAAAAUUAGUUUACUUAGAAAAAUUUAGUAUACUCAGAAAAAUUAGUAUACUUGGAAAAAUUAGUAUACAUAGGAAAACUGGUAUACAGGUUUGGUAUACAGGAAGAUUAGUAUGCAUAAAAAAAAAGUGGAAGACAAAGCAAGAAAGUUUUUUUUUUGAGGAGUUUUGUGUUUUUUUUGUGAAUCAUAUGACAAUGGAAGGAAACCUAUAAGUUUCAUCGGACCUGAACUCCACGUUAGAGAUCUCUGGGAGCUACCACCACAUUCUUAUAACUGGGCAGAUAAAAGGAGUUAAACUAGUCUUUAUGGAAAUUAUUCUUAAAACAAAAAAGGUUUGAAUGCAUUCAUCCUUAGGUAAGAAACUAUACGGUAAUUUUUAUUCAAGUAUUGAAAUGUAAAAAGGGACAGUGUUCCCAUCUGUCUUCAAUUUUGGUAUUUCAUAAUAAAUUGUAGCAAACUUUAUUUCAUAUGAAGUGAUCCCAACAAACAAAUUAAACUAAUAAAACAAA
Long non-coding RNA from Leptinotarsa decemlineata (Colorado potato beetle), 614 nucleotides. The record is from RefSeq and is a predicted model, not a curated record. Lineage: Eukaryota; Metazoa; Arthropoda; Insecta; Coleoptera; Chrysomelidae.